Oncorhynchus keta (chum salmon) is the source of this 689-nucleotide long non-coding RNA. RefSeq lists it as uncharacterized. The record is from RefSeq and is a predicted model, not a curated record. The transcript is spliced from 4 exons. NCBI's taxonomy places the organism in Eukaryota, Metazoa, Chordata, Actinopteri, Salmoniformes, Salmonidae.
GUGGCAGGUGGAACUUUAAAUGAGGAGGACGGGCUCAUAGUAAUGGCUGGAGGUGGCAGGUGGAACUUUAAAUGGGGAGGACGGGCUCAUAGUAAUGGCUGGAGGUGGCAGGUGGAACUUUAAAUGGGGAGGACGGGCUCAUAGUAAUGGCUGGAGGUGGCAGGUGGAACUUUAAAUGGGGAGGACGGGCUCAUAGUAAUGGCUGGAGGUGGCAGGUGGAACUUUAAAUGGGGAGGACGGGCUCAUAGUAAUGGCUGGAGGUGGCAGGUGGAACUUUAAAUGGGGAGGACGGGCUCAUAGUAAUGGCUGGAGGUGGCAGGUGGAACUUUAAAUGGGGAGGACGGGCUCAUAGUAAUGGCUGGAGGUGGCAGGUGGAACUUUAAAUGGGGAGGACGGGCUCAUAGUAAUGGCUGGAGGUGGCAGGUGGAACUUUAAAUGGGGAGGACGGGCUCAUAGUAAUGGCUGGAGGUGGCAGGUGGAACUUUAAAUGGGGAGGACGGGCUCAUAGUAAUGGCUGGAGGUGGCAGGUGGAACUUUAAAUGGGGAGGACGGGCUCAUAGUAAUGGCUGGAGGUGGCAGGUGGAACUUUAAAUGGGGAGGACGGGCUCAUAGUAAUGGCUGGAGCGGAAUGGAUGGAAGGGUCUCAAAUACAUGAAACAUCUAGUUUCCAUGUCUACCAUUCCAUUUAA